AUGUUAUUAUUUGAAUUUAUCUGACUAGGUGCGGCGCGACUAGGAUAUGAAUUUUAAUUGUAUUACUCAAGUUAGCAUUCAAGUUGAAGUUCAAGUUCAAGUUAAAUUUCCAGUUUCAGGUGAUUGAUAUCGGAGGCGCGUGGAGAGUCGAAUGGGCGCGUCGAAUCUAUUUAAAGAUAAAUGUUUCUUAAAGCAUAUUAUGUUAUUUCAUGUGAUAUCUUUUGGUUAUGUAAACUCUGAAAUUCUAUACUAUUUGAGAUUUGUGUGUGAUUUGUCUAAAUAAAUGUUGUUAUAUUAUUUUAA
This is a long non-coding RNA of Salvia miltiorrhiza (redroot sage), 303 nucleotides long. RefSeq lists it as uncharacterized. The transcript is spliced from 2 exons. Lineage: Eukaryota; Viridiplantae; Streptophyta; Magnoliopsida; Lamiales; Lamiaceae. The record is from RefSeq and is a predicted model, not a curated record.